GGGGCUGUGGCUCAGUGGCAGAACUUCUGCUUUACAUGCAGAAGGUCCCAGGUUCAAUCCCCGGCAUCUCCA
This is a non-coding RNA of Euleptes europaea (tarantolino), 72 nucleotides long. The record is from the annotation of a RefSeq genome assembly. NCBI's taxonomy places the organism in Eukaryota, Metazoa, Chordata, Lepidosauria, Squamata, Sphaerodactylidae.